UAGGUUAAACGGCCGCGGUAUCCUGACCGUGCAAAGGUAGCAUAAUCACUUGUUCUCUAAUUAAGGACUAGAAUGAAAGGCUGAACGAGGGCCUAACUGUCUCUUAUUUCUAAUCAGUGAAAUUGACCUCCCCGUGAAGAGGCGGGGAUAAAACAAUAAGACGAGAAGACCCUAUGGAACUUAAAUUUCAAAACCCAACUUCAACAUACCAAAAACCCUAAAGGACUAACAAAAUGAAGAUCGGGUUUAAAUUUUGGUUGGGGUGACCUCGGAGCACAAAAAACCCUCCGAAUGAUUAUAACCAAGACACACAAGUCUAAGUACAUGAAAUCUUAUUGACCCAAAACUUGAUCAACGGACCAAGUUACCCUAGGGAUAACAGCGCAAUCCUAAUUUAGAGUCCAUAUCGACAUUAGGGUUUACGACCUCGAUGUUGGAUCAGGACAUCCCAG
This 452-nucleotide ribosomal RNA is filed under the name Acomys spinosissimus. RNAcentral describes it as "partial 16S ribosomal RNA". It matches the Rfam family "Bacterial large subunit ribosomal RNA", at positions 1919 to 2550 of the family's 2925-position model. The record is from RNAcentral. Lineage: Eukaryota; Metazoa; Chordata; Mammalia; Rodentia; Muridae.